AGCUUUGUGCAGUGGCAGUAUCAUAGCCAAUGAGGUUUAUCUGAGGUGUGAUUAUUGCUAAUUGAAAACUUUUCACCCCCUCUUACAUAGAAUAUUCUUUUCCUAUCUUUGAUUUUUGGUCUAUGAAUUAUUUUUGGAUUAGAUGUGCCUCU
Heterocephalus glaber (naked mole-rat) is the source of this 152-nucleotide small nuclear RNA. Its record names the gene U4. It matches the Rfam family "U4 spliceosomal RNA". Rfam says of the family: U4 small nuclear RNA (U4 snRNA) is a component of the major U2-dependent spliceosome. NCBI's taxonomy places the organism in Eukaryota, Metazoa, Chordata, Mammalia, Rodentia, Bathyergidae. The record is from Ensembl.